UCGCUUCAGCAGUGCGUAUUCUAAAACUGGAACGAUACAGGGAAACUUAGCAUGGCCCCUGUGCAAGGAUGACAUGCAAAGCAUUCCAUAUUUAAAUUUUU
Molecule: small nuclear RNA, 101 nt
Filed under: Salvator merianae (Argentine black and white tegu)
Lineage: Eukaryota; Metazoa; Chordata; Lepidosauria; Squamata; Teiidae
Source: RNAcentral